This 468-nucleotide ribosomal RNA is filed under the name uncultured bacterium. Its description in RNAcentral is "partial 16S ribosomal RNA". It matches the Rfam family "Bacterial small subunit ribosomal RNA", at positions 28 to 507 of the family's 1533-position model. The record is from RNAcentral.
GACGAACGCUGGCGGCGUGCUUAACACAUGCAAGUCGAACGGAAAGGCCCUGCUUUUGUGGGGUGCUCGAGUGGCGAACGGGUGAGUAACACGUGAGUAACCUGCCCUUGACUUUGGGAUAACUUCAGGAAACUGGGGCUAAUACCGGAUAGGAGCUCCUGCUGCAUGGUGGGGGUUGGAAAGUUUCGGCGGUUGGGGAUGGACUCGCGGCUUAUCAGCUUGUUGGUGGGGUAGUGGCUUACCAAGGCUUUGACGGGUAGCCGGCCUGAGAGGGUGACCGGCCACCUUGGGACUGAGAUACGGCCCAGACUCCUACGGGAGGCAGCAGUGGGGAAUAUUGCACAAUGGGCGGAAGCCUGAUGCAGCAACGCCGCGUGCGGGAUGACGGCCUUCGGGUGGUAAACCGCUUUCGCCUGUGACGAAGCGUGAGUGACGGUAAUGGGUAAAGAAGCACCGGCUAACUACGUG